GACGAACUCUGGCGGCGUGCUUAACACAUGCAAGUCGAACGGUAAGGCUCCAGCUUGCUGGGGUACACGAGUGGCGAACGGGUGAGUAACACGUGGGUGACCUGCCCUGCACUUCGGGAUAAGCCUGGGAAACUGGGUCUAAUACCGGAUAGGACCGCACCGUGAGGGUGUGGUGGAAAGUUUUUUCGGUGUGGGAUGGGCCCGCGGCCUAUCAGCUUGUUGGUGGGGUAAUGGCCUACCAAGGCGGCGACGGGUAGCCGGCCUGAGAGGGUGGACGGCCACAUUGGGACUGAGACACGGCCCAGACUCCUACGGGAGGCAGCAGUGGGGAAUACUGCACAAUGGGCGGAAGCCUGAUGCAGCGACGCCGCGUGGGGGAUGACGGCCUUCGGGUUGUAAACUCCUUUCACCAUCGACGAAGGGUUUCUGACGGUAGAUGGAGAAGAAGCACCGGCUAACUACGUGCCAGCAGCCGCGGUAAUACGUAGGGUGCGAGCGUUGUCCGGAAUUACUGGGCGUAAAGAGCUCGUAGGUGGUUUGUCGCGUCGUCUGUGAAAUUCCGGGGCUUAACUCCGGGCGUGCAGGCGAUACGGGCAUAACUUGAGUACUGUAGGGGAGACUGGAAUUCCUGGUGUAGCGGUGAAAUGCGCAGAUAUCAGGAGGAACACCGGUGGCGAAGGCGGGUCUCUGGGCAGUAACUGACGCUGAGGAGCGAAAGCAUGGGGAGCGAACAGGAUUAGAUACCCUGGUAGUCCAUGCCGUAAACGGUGGGCGCUAGGUGUGGGUUUCCUUCCACGGGAUCCGUGCCGUAGCUAACGCAUUAAGCGCCCCGCCUGGGGAGUACGGCCGCAAGGCUAAAACUCAAAGGAAUUGACGGGGGCCCGCACAAGCGGCGGAGCAUGUGGAUUAAUUCGAUGCAACGCGAAGAACCUUACCUGGGCUUGACAUAUACAGGAUCGCGCCAGAGAUGGUGUUUCCCUUGUGGCUUGUAUACAGGUGGUGCAUGGUUGUCGUCAGCUCGUGUCGUGAGAUGUUGGGUUAAGUCCCGCAACGAGCGCAACCCUUGUCUUAUGUUGCCAGCACGUUGUGGUGGGGACUCGUAAGAAACUGCCGGGGUUAACUCGGAGGAAGGUGGGGAUGACGUCAAAUCAUCAUGCCCCUUAUGUCCAGGGCUUCACACAUGCUACAAUGGUCGGUACAGUGGGUUGCCAGUCCGUGAGGGCGAGCUAAUCCCGCAAAGCCGGUCUCAGUUCGGAUCGGGGUCUGCAACUCGACCCCGUGAAGUCGGAGUCGCUAGUAAUCGCAGAUCAGCAACGCUGCGGUGAAUACGUUCCCGGGCCU
RNAcentral lists this ribosomal RNA (1341 nucleotides) under uncultured bacterium. RNAcentral's name for it is "partial 16S ribosomal RNA". It matches the Rfam family "Bacterial small subunit ribosomal RNA", at positions 28 to 1381 of the family's 1533-position model. The record is from RNAcentral.